RNAcentral lists this ribosomal RNA (253 nucleotides) under uncultured bacterium. Its description in RNAcentral is "partial 16S ribosomal RNA". It matches the Rfam family "Bacterial small subunit ribosomal RNA", at positions 524 to 776 of the family's 1533-position model. The record is from RNAcentral.
UACGUAGGGUGCAAGCGUUAAUCGGAAUUACUGGGCGUAAAGCGUGCGCAGGCGGUUUUGUAAGUCUGACGUGAAAUCCCCGGGCUCAACCUGGGAAUUGAGUUGGAGACUGCAAGGCUAGAAUCUGGCAGAGGGGGGUAGAAUUCCACGUGUAGCAGUGAAAUGCGUAGAGAUGUGGAGGAACACCGAUGGCGAAGGCAGCCCCCUGGGUCAAGAUUGACGCUCAUGCACGAAAGCGUGGGGAGCAAACAGG